Molecule: long non-coding RNA, 545 nt
Organism: Crotalus tigris (Tiger rattlesnake)
Lineage: Eukaryota; Metazoa; Chordata; Lepidosauria; Squamata; Viperidae
Exons: 3
Source: RefSeq, a predicted model, not a curated record
UUCACUCCUUCUCUCCUUUCUUUUUCUCUCCCUCUUUCCUUCCUUCUCUCUCUUUCUUUCUUUCUUUCUUUCUCCAUUCUUUUUCUCUCUCUCUGAAUCGUAAUUCCUCUCUCGAUGACUACUGUGUCUAAGAAAAUUAGAUUUUAAGCAGUUUUUUUAAAAUGGAAAAAAAAUAGACACUGAAUAAAUCCAUAUUUCCUUUCCUUCUCUAUCAAGACUUAGGUCAAAGUCUUCCAGUAAUUACCUAGAUGAAAAGAGAGAGAGAGAGGUCGGACUCUACUUCUUGUUGAAUCUCCCUGGAGAGCAGACUGCCUUAAAAAGAGUCUAAAGAGCUUGAAAAUGGAGAGCUCAUGCAAGCGAGCCAAGUUGCAUUUUUUUGCAAAACCACAUCGGAUCUUGGCUGCCCUUUUUCAGGACUUCCAGCUGUUCCCCCGUUCUCCACCUGGAGCCAGGACAGCCUGAAAAAAAAUCUGUCCGGUAACGCCGACCUCUUUGUAGGGAUGCCAUCCGUAAUCGUCCCGCCCCCCCUGCCGCUUAGAUCCGUG